RNAcentral lists this ribosomal RNA (601 nucleotides) under uncultured Pseudomonadota bacterium. RNAcentral describes it as "bacterial SSU rRNA". It matches the Rfam family "Bacterial small subunit ribosomal RNA", at positions 302 to 896 of the family's 1533-position model. Lineage: Bacteria; Pseudomonadati; Pseudomonadota. The record is from RNAcentral.
GACCAGCCACACUGGAACUGAGACACGGUCCAGACUCCUACGGGAGGCAGCAGUGGGGAAUUUUGGACAAUGGGGGCAACCCUGAUCCAGCAAUGCCGCGUGAGUGAAGAAGGCCUUCGGGUUGUAAAGCUCUUUUGUCAGGGAAGAAACGGUGGGGGCUAAUAUCUCCUGCUAAUGACGGUACCUGAAGAAUAAGCACCGGCUAACUACGUGCCAGCAGCCGCGGUAAUACGUAGGGUGCAAGCGUUAAUCGGAAUUACUGGGCGUAAAGCGUGCGCAGGCGGUUUGGUAAGACAGAUGUGAAAUCCCCGGGCUUAACCUGGGAAUUGCAUUUGUGACUGCCCGGCUAGAGUGUGUCAGAGGGGGGUAGAAUUCCACGUGUAGCAGUGAAAUGCGUAGAGAUGUGGAGGAAUACCGAUGGCGAAGGCAGCCCCCUGGGAUAACACUGACGCUCAUGCACGAAAGCGUGGGGAGCAAACAGGAUUAGAUACCCUGGUAGUCCACGCCCUAAACGAUGUCUACUAGUUGUCGGGUCUUAAUUGACUUGGUAACGCAGCUAACGCGUGAAGUAGACCGCCUGGGGAGUACGGUCGCAAGAUUA